This 253-nucleotide ribosomal RNA is filed under the name uncultured bacterium. Its description in RNAcentral is "partial 16S ribosomal RNA". It matches the Rfam family "Bacterial small subunit ribosomal RNA", at positions 524 to 776 of the family's 1533-position model. The record is from RNAcentral.
UACGUAGGGUGCGAGCGUUGUCCGGAAUUAUUGGGCGUAAAGAGCUUGUAGGCGGUUUGUCGCGUCUGCCGUGAAAAUCCGGGGCCCAACCCCGGACUUGCGGUGGGUACGGGCAGACUAGAGUGUGGUAGGGGAGACUGGAAUUCCUGGUGUAGCGGUGAAAUGCGCAGAUAUCAGGAGGAACACCGAUGGCGAAGGCAGGUCUCUGGGCCACUACUGACGCUGAGAAGCGAAAGCGUGGGGAGCGAACAGG